GAUGAACGCUGGCGGCGUGCCUAAUACAUGCAAGUAGAACGCUAAAGGACGGAGCUUGCUCUUUCCGGGUGAGUCGCGCACGUGUGAGUAACGCGUAGGUAACCUGCCUGGUAGCGGGGGAUAACUAUGGGAAACGAUAGCUAAUACCGCAUAACAGUAGAUGUUGCAUGAUAUCUACUUAAGAGGCGCAAUUGCACCACUACCAGAUGGACCUGCGUUGUUUUAGCUAGUUGGUGAGGUACCGGCUCACCAAGGCGACGAUACAGAGCGGCCCUGAGAGGGCGGUUAGCCGCCCUGGGACUGGGACCGGGCCCAUAGGCCUUGGGGUGGGAGCAAUAGGGAAACGGGGGGCAGCGGCGGGAGUCUGUGCGAACAACGCCGCGGGAGUAUGGAAGGUCUCCGGGUCGUAAAGCUCGGUUGUAAGGGAAGAACGAGUGUGCGCGUGGGAAGUUGACACUGUGACGGUAUCUUAUCAGAAAGCGACGGCUAACUACGUG
RNAcentral lists this ribosomal RNA (497 nucleotides) under uncultured bacterium. RNAcentral's name for it is "partial 16S ribosomal RNA". It matches the Rfam family "Bacterial small subunit ribosomal RNA", at positions 28 to 507 of the family's 1533-position model. The record is from RNAcentral.